RNAcentral lists this ribosomal RNA (459 nucleotides) under uncultured bacterium. Its description in RNAcentral is "partial 16S ribosomal RNA". It matches the Rfam family "Bacterial small subunit ribosomal RNA", at positions 338 to 795 of the family's 1533-position model. The record is from RNAcentral.
CCUACGGGUGGCAGCAGUGAGGAAUAUUGGUCAAUGGCCGGAAGGCUGAACCAGCCAAGCCGCGUGAAGGACGAAGGUGCCAAGCAUUGUAAACUUCUUUUGUCAAGGGACAAAAUCAGGCUCGAGAGCCUGAACGAGGGUACUUGAAGAAAAAGCAUCGGCUAACUCCGUGCCAGCAGCCGCGGUAAUACGGAGGAUGCGUGUGUUAUCCGGAUUUAUUGGGUUUAAAGGGUGCGUAGGCGGACUGUUAAGUCAGCGGUAAAAGCCCGGGGCUCAAACCCGGCGAGCGGUUGAAACUGGCUGACUUGAGAAGUGGAGAGGGAUGCGGAAUGCGCGGUGUAGCGGUGAAAUGCGUAGAUAUUGCGCAGAACUCCGAUUGCGAAGGCAGCAUACCGGCGGCGAUCUGACGCUGAGGCACGAAGGCGUGGGUAUCGAACAGGAUUAGAUACCCGUGUAGUC